UCGUAUUAACGUCAGCAUGACUGCAGAAUUCUCUACUCUAGUAGUGUAAACGUCGCCCUUAUUUGACGACCACAUCUGUAAGGCCAAAAGUACGAAAGAAACCACCAUCCGUUACUCAUUUGCCUCUUGGAGGUCGAGCGGAAGUUGAACGGACGCAUCGUUAGGAGUGGCAAAUCAGAGCAUUCGGUCGGAGUGAAGUCGGUAGAACGUCAAAGCUUCAAUUCGCAUAAAACGAUGGUAAGAGAAAAGAGGGGUCUAAUUCGGUAGAGCUCUUGCAAGCUGACGCUGCCGCCAUUGCUGCAACCGUUGCUACUGUUUGUGCUGCUAGCUGAGUUCAUUAGCGCACCAAGAAAACGAACCGAUUCAGCUUGAUUACAUUUAAUGGGGCCAACCCGCAGAUGAGAGCGAAGAAGCGGCUAGAAUAAAAAAUAGGUGUCUGCCACACGAAGAAGCACUUGCAGUAUGGUAUGGUCUCGCGCUCCUCUAUUUCAGCAGCAAAAAGGGGCAUCCAGAUACGGCGGCCGCGGUGUUACCAGUAGCUGCAGAGGCUGACAGGGAACAAAUACGAGUGUUGCUCUUCGACGCUGGGUGCAAAAAAUACGCGCAUAGGACUACGGCGUGAUCUGUGGAGCUAAUGCGCGUCUCUGAAUGCGUUAUUAUGGGUGCCUGAACAAGUCAGGUGACGCCUUUCAAAGCAGAUCCUUUUUCACAAUGGACGCACGUCACUCGUCGGAGAAGUUAAAUCUUUUAUCGAUUGGCUAUUCCCUACCUAUUCAUAUGUGUCAAAAAGGACAGAUGAUGGCUUCAAACUGCAAGUAAACCCGUAUGCGUUGUCUUCGAAGAUUAUUGGAACCAUGCUGUUGAUGGAUUGAGUGUCAAAAUUCAAAGGAAGACCUGUUUAUGUAUGAAACUUCAAAACCGAUAACAUGUAAACUAACCUGGAAUCACACAACUUAGCAUUUUAGUUAAGAAGUAUAGGUUCUAAAAAUUGUUAUUUCUAGUUCUCGGGUUCCCAUUUUGG
Molecule: long non-coding RNA, 1021 nt
Organism: Varroa destructor (honeybee mite)
Lineage: Eukaryota; Metazoa; Arthropoda; Arachnida; Mesostigmata; Varroidae
Source: RefSeq, a predicted model, not a curated record